AAGAGAAUUAUUAGAUCAAAAUAAGAGGAAAGGGUAUUAAAUGAAAAUAGAUGUAAAAUUUUAAAUAGGGGGUUGGUUUAAAAAGUUGCAUUGGUUAUUUUCAGUAUUUAAAAUUAAUAAGAUUAUUGGGGGGUAAUUUUAGUUAAUUUAAUACAAUAGGGGUAAAAUGAUGUGCCAGCAUUCGCGGUUAAACAUCAUCCUUGAAUCUUUAAUUUUAAAGGGGAAUAUAAUAUAUAAUUGAAUUUAAUUUGUUUUAAUGGGGGUGAAAUAAAUUAAAGUAAAUUUAUAUAAAAAGUUUUCAAAAUUUUGGGUUUAAACUAGGAUUAGAUACCCUAUUAUUCAAAUUUAAUAAAAAAAUUUUUUUAGUAUUUUGGUUACACAAAAAAUUAAAUUGAUUUGGCGGUUUUUUAAACUUUUUAGAGGAACCUGUAAAUUAAUUUGAUAAGCCACGAUUUAAUUAACCUUAAUUAUCUUGUAUAUCUCUAUAAUUGAAUAUAAUUUGAGUUAAAUUUUCUUUUUUUUAAUUUAAAUGUAAUUUAGGUCAAGGUGCAGUUAUAUUUAGGGUGAAAUGGGUUACAAUAAUUUUUGUUUGUGGAUUUUAAGUUUAAAUUUUUUUGAAAUUGGAUUUAAAAGUAAAAUUUUUUAUUUAAAAAUUAGAAUAAUGCUCUGAUUUAUGUACAUAUCGCCCGUCAUUCUCAUUAAGUGAGACAAGUCGUAACAAAGUAGAUGUAUUGGAAAAUGUAUCUAG
This 748-nucleotide non-coding RNA is filed under the name Ishiharodelphax matsuyamensis. Lineage: Eukaryota; Metazoa; Arthropoda; Insecta; Hemiptera; Delphacidae. The record is from RNAcentral.